This 253-nucleotide ribosomal RNA is filed under the name uncultured bacterium. RNAcentral's name for it is "partial 16S ribosomal RNA". It matches the Rfam family "Bacterial small subunit ribosomal RNA", at positions 524 to 776 of the family's 1533-position model. The record is from RNAcentral.
UACAGAGGGUGCGAGCGUUAAUCGGAAUUACUGGGCGUAAAGGGCGCGUAGGUGGUGAUGUAAGCGAGAUGUGAAAUCCCUGGGCUUAACCUAGGAAGGUCAUCUUGAACUGCAUGACUGGAGUACGAUAGAGGGUAGUGGAAUUUCCGGUGUAGCGGUGAAAUGCGUAGAUAUCGGAAGGAACACCAGUGGCGAAGGCGACUACCUGGAUUGAUACUGACACUGAGGCGCGAGAGCGUGGGGAGCAAACAGG